RNAcentral lists this long non-coding RNA (215 nucleotides) under Sorghum bicolor (sorghum). RNAcentral's name for it is "long non-coding RNA (SBIC_LNC005702)". The record is from RNAcentral. Lineage: Eukaryota; Viridiplantae; Streptophyta; Magnoliopsida; Poales; Poaceae.
GCGGUGAGGGGUCGUGGACGAGGGAGAUGGAGGGGAUGAGGUCGGCAAUGGUGGAGGGCCCAUCAUCGCCUCAUCAAAGGGGAGGAGUGAGAGUGGUGAGAGUGUGAGGCAAGAGAGACAGAGUGGGGUUGGGAUCAGGAAGGGCCGGGGGGUAGAUUAGGUUGCUUCUCCUGUUUUUUUUGUAAGGCCUCUAUUUAGACCUUGUUUAGUUGGUG